Non-coding RNA from Caenorhabditis elegans, 21 nucleotides. Lineage: Eukaryota; Metazoa; Nematoda; Chromadorea; Rhabditida; Rhabditidae. The record is from Ensembl.
UGGGAAUGGAAAAAUACGAUC